AGUAAUUGUUUGGAGCUGGAAAAGGAGGGAUUGUGUGCUUGGCUAGAAGAGCAGCAGGAUCAUGGACAGCUAAGUGGGGGCAGGGCCUGGGGGAGUGAGAGGCUCCUGGCUGGCUGCUAGGACAGAGCCAAAGACAGUUUGCUAGCAGGGACUGGAGGAGCAAUGAAGGAGCUCCUAGCUGGCUGUAGGGAUUAAGUAGGGACUGAGCUUGGGGAGGGUUGCAGGAAGAUAGCGUCUCCAGGGAGAAAGUACUGGGGAUACAGCCCCAAACCAGGGCUGGACUGGUUUAAAGACCAUGGACACACCCACUAGGGGGGGUGCUUGUGAAAGGUGUUGAGAAGGGUCCAGUCAUCACAGUACACACAGUGCUGCUAACUCACAAGCUGAUCACAAGCCUCCUGGAUUCAUAUGACUAGGAGAGAAUCUUUCAUUUAAAAAAAGAAAAGAAUCUCAAAUGGUGGAGGCAGCUCGGAAAAAUGUUCUGCUGCUCUCAAAGCUGGAUGGACUGAUUCUACUUCAAAAUGGAGGCAGCUGCAGAAGUGAGGAUGAUGUGCCUUGAGAUCCUGUGCAGACUGAGUUAGACAGCUUAUGAUUUGUCUAUAAAAUGAGGAUAAUAAUACUUAGCUAUCUUUCAGAGAUAUAGGAAACCUUUAUUACUGAUGUAGUAGCAGGCUAUGCCUGAUUCUUAUGUGGGUAGAUGGUCCUGGGAAGUGUUGGAAAGAACCUUCCUUUUGCUUUCUUCAGACUUCACACACAAAGGCUAGGCACCAUUGCAACAUAAGGACUUGCUCCCUUUGCAUUGUGGUUAUCAGCUCGCUUCUCUGCCACUGCCACCUCCUCCUCCUUCACCCCAUCUCUCUGCUUGGCUGUUAACUGUGAAAGCCAACAUUACAGUAACUCUCCUGAUUCCUUUGAACAUCAUCUGCAUUAAAGACUAGAUUUUCAAAGGGGUCUCAGUCUAACCUCUAACUGCAUGCUAAACAUUGUACUUGUGGGUUUUAUGUCAUUUUCUGUUUGAGUCCUUAAGAUUGUGUGUACAGAAGCCACAGGACCUGAUUAUAGUGGCAUAACUAACUCCACUGACUUAAAAACAUUUCCUCUGAUUAACCUGCAGCAGAAUAUAUCUGUGUGUCCACACUCUACACACUAAUGUCAUGUCACAAUAUACAAGGCAUGUCUUGUAAGGUAUAAUUUGCUGGUCAACGUCAUCUUGAUAAAAUGUGUGGCAACAUGG
Molecule: long non-coding RNA, 1234 nt
Organism: Dermochelys coriacea (leatherback sea turtle)
Lineage: Eukaryota; Metazoa; Chordata; Testudines; Dermochelyidae
Exons: 3
Source: RefSeq, a predicted model, not a curated record